AACGCGAAGAACCUUACCUGGGUUUGAACUGCAGUAGACCGGCGCAGAGAUGUGCCUUCCCUUCGGGCUGCUGUGGAGGUGCUGCAUGGCUGUCGUCAGCUCGUGUCGUGAGAUGUUGGGUUAAGUCCCGCAACGAGCGCAACCCUUGCCAGUAGUUGCCAACAGGUAAAGCUGGGAACUCUACUGGGACUGCCGGUGUUAAACCGGAGGAAGGUGGGGAUGACGUCAAGUCCUCAUGGCCCUUAUGUCCAGGGCUACACACGUGCAACAAUGGUUGGUACAAUGGGUCGCGAAACCGCGAGGUGGAGCUAAUCUCAAAAAACCAAUCUCAGUUCGGAUUGUAGUCUGCAACUCGACUACAUGAAGUAGGAAUCGCUAGUAAUCGCGGAUCAGCACGCCGCGGUGAAUACGUUCCCGGGCCUUGUACACACCGGAGUGC
Molecule: ribosomal RNA, 439 nt
Filed under: uncultured bacterium
Lineage: Bacteria
Description: bacterial SSU rRNA
Rfam family: Bacterial small subunit ribosomal RNA
Source: RNAcentral